This 1328-nucleotide ribosomal RNA is filed under the name Microsporidium seriolae. Its description in RNAcentral is "SSU rRNA". It matches the Rfam family "Microsporidia small subunit ribosomal RNA". Lineage: Eukaryota; Fungi; Microsporidia. The record is from RNAcentral.
UGACGUGGAUGCUAGUCUCAUAGAUUAAGCCAUGCAUGUGUAAGCGACGCGAAGCGGAGCGGCGGACGGCUCAGUAACGGGCGCCACUUUGGUCUGCCGAACCGGACAACCUCGGGAAACAGAGGGGAAAACGGUGUAGCAGCACGCAGCGCCUAUUAAUUAGACGCUGUGUGCCGCGAGAACACGCAUGCGUGUGCGGCAGAGUAAGGAGCCAUCCCAUCAGUUAGUAGGCAGGGUAAGGGCCUGCCUAGACGACGACGGGUACGGGGGAUUAGGGUUUGAUUCCGGAGAGGGAGCCUGAGAGACGGCUACCAGGUCCAAGGACAGCAGCAGGCGCGAAAAUUACCACAGCCCGCAGCGGGGCGGUAGUGAAGAGACGUGCACGCAGGCGUGCCUAGAAGCCACGCGCGUAACUGGAGGUCAAGUCUGGUGCCAGCAUCCGCGGUAAUACCAGCUCCAGGAGUGUCUAUGAUGAUUGCUGCGAUUAAAAGGUCCGUAGUCGGGGGGCAGCACCUGUCUGCAAUGCGGGCGAUCAAGCGCCGAGCAGGACGGGCACAGCCCCGCACAGGAGCGAUCGAGGGCCAGACUAUUGUGCAGCGAGAGGUGAAAUUUGAUGACCUGCGCAGGAGUAGCAGCGGCGAAGGCGCUGGCCAGGAGCGUAUCCGAUGAUCAAGGACGUAGGCUGGAGGAUCGAAGACGAUUAGAGACCGUAGUAGUUCCAGCAGUAAACGAUGCCUACACUGCUGCAGACGCGUCUGCGGCAGACGAGAAAUCGAGUGGGGCUACGGGGAGAGUACGCGCGCAAGCGCCAAAUUUAAAGGAAAUUGACGGAAGAACACCACAAGGAGUGGAGUGUGCGGCUUAAUUUGACUCAACGCGGGACAACUUACCACGCCCGAUGGCCGUGUGAGCGCGUGCGCGAUAGGCCAGCGAGUGGUGCAUGGCCGUUAUCGACUAGUGGGGUGACCUCUGGGUUAAGUCCGCAAAGUAGUGAGAUCCCGGGGCCCGCUCAUUUUAUUUGAUGGGCGGCGUCGACAGGCGCGAGAAGCGCCGGAAGGACGGGGCAAGAACAGGUCAGUGAUGCCCUUAGAUGGCGUGGGCUGCACGCGCACUACAGUGGUCGCAGCAGGAGCUUUCAGAGUGAAAUGCGAUCGAGAGGGAAUGCGCGCUGUAAGGUGCACAGGAACGAGGAAUUGCUAGUAGCCGCUGCCUCACCAAGGAGCGGCGAAUGUGUCCCUGUUCUUUGUACACACCGCCCGUCGUUAUCGAAGAUGGCGCCAGGCGCGAACAAGCGCAAGCGCGUGAGUGCAGGGCGCUAGAUCUGAUAC